RNAcentral lists this unclassified non-coding RNA (253 nucleotides) under Planctomycetaceae bacterium. RNAcentral's name for it is "partial 16S ribosomal RNA". It matches the Rfam family "Bacterial small subunit ribosomal RNA", at positions 524 to 776 of the family's 1533-position model. The record is from RNAcentral. Lineage: Bacteria; Pseudomonadati; Planctomycetota; Planctomycetia; Planctomycetales; Planctomycetaceae. RNAcentral also lists the same sequence under 1 other name.
UACGAACUGUGCGAACGUUAUUCGGAAUCACUGGGCUUAAAGGGUGCGUAGGCGGCCUGUUAAGCAGGGUGUGAAAUGCCAGGGCUCAACCUUGGCAUGGCGCCCUGAACUGGCGGGCUUGAGUGAGCUAGGGGUGUGUGGAACUUCCGGUGGAGCGGUGAAAUGUGUUGAGAUCGGAAGGAACACCGGUGGCGAAAGCGACACACUGGGGCUUAACUGACGCUGAGGCACGAAAGCCAGGGUAGCGAACGGG